Long non-coding RNA from Pseudophryne corroboree (corroboree frog), 1130 nucleotides. RefSeq lists it as uncharacterized. The record is from RefSeq and is a predicted model, not a curated record. Lineage: Eukaryota; Metazoa; Chordata; Amphibia; Anura; Myobatrachidae. The transcript has 2 exons.
UACUUACUGACACCAGCAGGAAAAGUCGCCAGAAAACACGGACUGUGGACAAAACCACCAAUCCUAUUUUUAACCACAAUGGUUUAUGACGGCUUCAAAGAAGAGGACUUGAGAGAGGCAUGUAUGGAACGCACAGUGUGGGACCAUAACAGACUAUCAAAUCACUUCAUUGGAGGUCUACGGCUAGGCCUCGGAACAGGAAAGAGUUACGGGACAGCUGUAGACUGGAUGGACUCGAGCCAUGAGGAAACCACAAUGUGGGACAGGAUGAUUACCUCUCCCAACACCUGGGUUGAGAGCUUGCUGCCACUGCGGAUGUUUAAGAUGGCCAAAAUAGCCAAAUAAAUGGGAAAUAUAGGUUAUCCUUACGUCGUAAUCCAGCACUGCGAUCACUUUUAUACUAUAAACCUCAUUUGCUUUUUGGGAAUGUAAACAGAUAAUGUCUUUACUCAAGAGCCAAAAAGCUGUGUCAUGUCCUCUACUGUGUACGUCCUGAGUGGUGGUCCGGCUGGAAGACUGCUACACAGAGAAGCCGCUGAAACUGUGGAACUGCAUAAUGUUCCAUUUACUUUUUUUUCUUGUUUUUUAACUGUGGUACAAUGGGAACUUGAUUAGAAAGAGAUAAUGAAGUCUUUACAUAUAACUCCAAGUGGGAAAAAGUUGUAUUUUGUCCCCCGCUGCUAUCUUUUAGAAAACUUUUGGAAUGGGUGACGUAUCCUUUUUCAUUUUCAUCCUGUUCCGCAGUCCCUGUGUCAUUAGGGCUCACACAAAAUGGAAGCUGUCUUGCUCCUAGACGGUUUCUCUACCUUAUUGGGAACUUCCUAUAGAAAAUGGGGAGAAAGGUAUAAAAUAUGGUAAAUAUGGAUCGCUAUAAAUAUAUUUAAUUUUUAUUGCAUCAUGGCUUAUAUGAUUUUCAAGCCUGUGGGUGACAUGGUUAAAAUUGUCCAAUUUUCACUUUGGCAUAUGUUCAUUAUUUCUGUACUUUUAAAUGUAACACUUAAGUGUCUGCUAAAUAUGCACUUGUGUAAUGGGUUUUGUACAAAAUGAAAGUGUCAAUAUUUGGGGAAAAUGAAGUUUGGAAUAGAAAUGUGUAUAUAUGUAAUUAUCUCAAUAAAAUGAUUGCCACACAA